This 557-nucleotide ribosomal RNA is filed under the name uncultured Rhizobium sp. Its description in RNAcentral is "bacterial SSU rRNA". It matches the Rfam family "Bacterial small subunit ribosomal RNA", at positions 102 to 694 of the family's 1533-position model. The record is from RNAcentral. Lineage: Bacteria; Pseudomonadati; Pseudomonadota; Alphaproteobacteria; Hyphomicrobiales; Rhizobiaceae.
ACGGGUGAGUAACGCGUGGGAAUCUACCGUGCCCUGCGGAAUAGCUCCGGGAAACUGGAAUUAAUACCGCAUACGCCCUACGGGGGAAAGAUUUAUCGGGGUAUGAUGAGCCCGCGUUGGAUUAGCUAGUUGGUGGGGUAAAGGCCUACCAAGGCGACGAUCCAUAGCUGGUCUGAGAGGAUGAUCAGCCACAUUGGGACUGAGACACGGCCCAAACUCCUACGGGAGGCAGCAGUGGGGAAUAUUGGACAAUGGGCGCAAGCCUGAUCCAGCCAUGCCGCGUGAGUGAUGAAGGCCUUAGGGUUGUAAAGCUCUUUCACCGGAGAAGAUAAUGACGGUAUCCGGAGAAGAAGCCCCGGCUAACUUCGUGCCAGCAGCCGCGGUAAUACGAAGGGGGCUAGCGUUGUUCGGAAUUACUGGGCGUAAAGCGCACGUAGGCGGAUAUUUAAGUCAGGGGUGAAAUCCCAGAGCUCAACUCUGGAACUGCCUUUGAUACUGGGUAUCUUGAGUAUGGAAGAGGUAAGUGGAAUUCCGAGUAUAGAGGUGAAAUUCGUAGA